GACGAACGCUGGCGGCGUGCUUAACACAUGCAAGUCGAACGGAAAGGCCCUGCUUUUGUGGGGUGCUCGAGUGGCGAACGGGUGAGUAACACGUGAGUAACCUGCCCUUGACUUUGGGAUAACUUCAGGAAACUGGGGCUAAUACCGGAUAGGAGCUCCUGCUGCAUGGUGGGGGUUGGAAAGUUUCGGCGGUUGGGGAUGGACUCGCGGCUUAUCAGCUUGUUGGUGGGGUAGUGGCUUACCAAGGCUUUGACGGGUAGCCGGCCUGAGAGGGUGACCGGCCACAUUGGGACUGAGAUACGGCCCAGACUCCUACGGGAGGCAGCAGUGGGGAAUAUUGCACAAUGGGCGGAAGCCUGAUGCAGCAACGCCGCGUGCGGGAUGACGGCCUUCGGGUUGUAAUCCGCUUCCGCCUGGGACGAAGCGUGAGUGACGGUAAUGGGUAAAGAAGCACCGGCUAACUACGUG
Molecule: ribosomal RNA, 468 nt
Filed under: uncultured bacterium
Lineage: Bacteria
Description: partial 16S ribosomal RNA
Rfam family: Bacterial small subunit ribosomal RNA
Source: RNAcentral